This 196-nucleotide long non-coding RNA is filed under the name Monodelphis domestica (gray short-tailed opossum). RNAcentral's name for it is "lncRNA (ENSMODG00000047976.1)". Lineage: Eukaryota; Metazoa; Chordata; Mammalia; Didelphimorphia; Didelphidae. The record is from RNAcentral.
GCUUUACUAACUUACUACCUGUAUACAAAGUAAUUUAACCUUUUUUUUCCCUUUUUUUUAUUAUAGGAGAAUACUAACAAUUGGAAGAAUCAGAAGAGACUACAUGUAGGAAGUGAUGAUUGAUUGGAGCCUUGAAGGAAAAAUGGUUCCAUUAAAGUCCAGGAGGAAAAUUAUAGCACCACACAGCAAAGUCUAG